RNAcentral lists this ribosomal RNA (460 nucleotides) under uncultured bacterium. RNAcentral describes it as "partial 16S ribosomal RNA". It matches the Rfam family "Bacterial small subunit ribosomal RNA", at positions 338 to 795 of the family's 1533-position model. The record is from RNAcentral.
CCUACGGGAGGCAGCAGUGAGGAAUAUUGGUCAAUGGGCGCGAGCCUGAACCAGCCAAGUAGCGUGAAGGAUGACUGCCCUACGGGUUGUAAACUUCUUUUAUGAAGGGAUAAAGUGAGGCACGUGUGCCUUUUUGUAUGUACUUUAUGAAUAAGGAUCGGCUAACUCCGUGCCAGCAGCCGCGGUAAUACGGAGGAUCCGGGCGUUAUCCGGAUUUAUUGGGUUUAAAGGGAGCGUAGAUGGGUUGUUAAGUCAGUUGUGAAAGUUUGCGGCUCAACCGUAAAAUUGCAAUUGAUACUGGCAGGCUUGAGUACAGUUGAGGGAGGCGGAAUUCGUGGUGUAGCGGUGAAAUGCUUAGAUAUCACGAAGAACUCCGAUUGCGAAGGCAGCUUACUAAACUGCCACUGACAUUGAUGCGCGAAAGUGUGGGUAUCAAACAGGAUUAGAUACCCGAGUAGUC